UUCGGUGGAAGAUUACUAAUGAGAGUGGCGAACGGGUGAGUAACGCGUGAGCAACCUGCCUAUGACAGUGGGAUAGCCUCGGGAAACCGGGAUUAAUACCGCAUAAAAUCGUAGAAACACAUGUUUUAACGGUCAAAGAUUUAUCGGUCAUAGAUGGGCUCGCGUCUGAUUAGCUAGUUGGUGAGAUAACAGCUCACCAAGGCGACGAUCAGUAGCCGGUCUGAGAGGAUGAACGGCCACAUUGGAACUGAGACACGGUCCAAACUCCUACGGGAGGCAGCAGUGGGGAAUAUUGCACAAUGGGGGAAACCCUGAUGCAGCGACGCCGCGUGAACGAAGAAGGUAUUCGUAUCGUAAAGUUCUGUCCUAUGGGAAGAUAAUGACAGUACCAUAGAAGAAAGCUCCGGCUAAAUACGUGCCAGCAGCCGCGGUAAUACGUAUGGAGCGAGCGUUGUCCGGAAUUAUUGGGCGUAUAAGGGUACGCAGGCGGUUUAAUAAGUCGAAUGUUAAAGAUCGGGGCUCAACCCCGUAAAGCAUUGGAAACUGAUAAACUUGAGUAGUGGAGAGGAAAGUGGAAUUCCUAGUGUAGUGGUGAAAUACGUAGAUAUUAGGAGGAAUACCAGUAGCGAAGGCGACUUUCUGGACACAAACUGACGCUGAGGUACGAAAGCGUGGGGAGCAAACAGGAUUAGAUACCCUGUAGUCCACGCCGUAAACGAUGAAUGCUAGGUGUUGGGGGUCAAACCUCGGUGCCGAAGUUAACACAUUAAGCAUUCCGCCUGGGGAGUACGCACGC
This 796-nucleotide ribosomal RNA is filed under the name uncultured Clostridia bacterium. Its description in RNAcentral is "bacterial SSU rRNA". It matches the Rfam family "Bacterial small subunit ribosomal RNA", at positions 71 to 889 of the family's 1533-position model. Lineage: Bacteria; Bacillati; Bacillota; Clostridia. The record is from RNAcentral.